GAUGAAGAACGUAGCGAAAUGCGAUAAGUAGUGUGAAUUGCAGAAUUCAGUGAAUCAUCGAAUCUUUGAACGCACAUUGCGCCCCUUGGUAUUCCAUGGGGCAUGCCUGUUCGAGCGUCAUUUGUACCUUCAAGCUUUGCUUGGUGUUGGGUGUUUGUCUCGCCUCUGCGUGUAGACUCGCCUCAAAACAAUUGGCAGCCGGCGUAUUGAUUUCGGAGCGCAGUACAUCUCGCGCUUUGCACUCAUAACGACGACGUCCAAAAGUACAUUUUUACACUCUUGACCUCGGAUCAGGUAGGGAUACCCGCUGAACUUAAGCAUAUCAAUAAGCGGAGGAA
RNAcentral lists this unclassified non-coding RNA (338 nucleotides) under soil metagenome. RNAcentral's name for it is "partial contains 5.8S ribosomal RNA, internal transcribed spacer 2, and large subunit ribosomal RNA". The stretch from base 1 to 120 matches the Rfam family "5.8S ribosomal RNA", at positions 35 to 154 of the family's 154-position model. The record is from RNAcentral.